CGGUAGCUAAUACCGCAUAACGUCGCAAGACCAAAGUGGGGGACCUUCGGGCCUCAUGCCAUCAGAUGUGCCCAGAUGGGAUUAGCUAGUAGGUGGGGUAACGGCUCACCUAGGCGACGAUCCCUAGCUGGUCUGAGAGGAUGACCAGCCACACUGGAACUGAGACACGGUCCAGACUCCUACGGGAGGCAGCAGUGGGGAAUAUUGCACAAUGGGCGCAAGCCUGAUGCAGCCAUGCCGCGUGUGUGAAGAAGGCCUUCGGGUUGUAAAGCACUUUCAGCGGGGAGGAAGGCGAUAAGGUUAAUAACCUUGGCGAUUGACGUUACCCGCAGAAGAAGCACCGGCUAACUCCGUGCCAGCAGCCGCG
Molecule: ribosomal RNA, 367 nt
Filed under: Pseudomonas aeruginosa
Lineage: Bacteria; Pseudomonadati; Pseudomonadota; Gammaproteobacteria; Pseudomonadales; Pseudomonadaceae
Description: bacterial SSU rRNA
Rfam family: Bacterial small subunit ribosomal RNA
Source: RNAcentral